UGGCUCAGUUGGUAGAGCAUGGUGUUUGCAACGCCAGGGUUGUGGGUUCAAUUCCCAC
Non-coding RNA from Salmo salar (Atlantic salmon), 58 nucleotides. NCBI's taxonomy places the organism in Eukaryota, Metazoa, Chordata, Actinopteri, Salmoniformes, Salmonidae. The record is from Rfam.